GACGAACGCUGGCGGCGCGCUUAACACAUGCAAGUCGAGCGAGAACCAGGACUUCGGUCCUGGGGACAGCGGCGAACGGGUGAGUAACACGUGGAUAACCUGCCCUCGGCACCGGGAUAGCCCGAGGAAACUCGGAUUAAUACCGGAUAGCCCUUCCGACUCUCGAGUCGGUCCGAAAAGGUAGCUUCGGCCUCUGGCCGAGGAUGGGUCCGCGGCGGAUUAGCUUGUUGGUGGGGUAACGGCCUACCAAGGCANCGAUCCGUAGCUGGUCUGAGAGGACGAUCAGCCACACUGGGACUGAGACACGGCCCAGACUCCUACGGGAGGCAGCAGUGGGGAAUCUUGCGCAAUGGGCGAAAGCCUGACGCAGCGACGCCGCGUGAGGGAAGAAGGCCUCGGUU
RNAcentral lists this ribosomal RNA (401 nucleotides) under uncultured bacterium. RNAcentral describes it as "bacterial SSU rRNA". It matches the Rfam family "Bacterial small subunit ribosomal RNA", at positions 28 to 424 of the family's 1533-position model. The record is from RNAcentral.